CUACACGGGUUUCUAAUCCUGUUUGCUCCCCACGCUUUCGCACCUGAGCGUCAGUGUUGUGCCAGGGGGCCGCCUUCGCCACUGGUAUUCCUCCAAAUCUCUACGCAUUUCACCGCUACACUUGGAAUUCUACCCCCCUCUCACACACUCUAGUUUUCCAGUUUCAAAUGCAAUUCCCAGGUUGAGCCCGGGGCUUUCACAUCUGACUUAAAAAACCGCCUACGUGCGCUUUACGCCCAGUAAUUCCGAUUAACGCUUGCACCCUCUGUAUUACCGCGGCUGCUGGCAC
RNAcentral lists this ribosomal RNA (289 nucleotides) under uncultured Rheinheimera sp. RNAcentral describes it as "partial 16S ribosomal RNA". The record is from RNAcentral. Lineage: Bacteria; Pseudomonadati; Pseudomonadota; Gammaproteobacteria; Chromatiales; Chromatiaceae.